This 728-nucleotide long non-coding RNA is filed under the name Rattus norvegicus (Norway rat). RNAcentral's name for it is "long non-coding RNA NONRATT026926". The record is from RNAcentral. Lineage: Eukaryota; Metazoa; Chordata; Mammalia; Rodentia; Muridae.
CUUCAGACCUCACAUGCCUGGUGUAUUUUCUUUGUGAUGUCUUCUCUAUAUUCCUGUUAAAAAUUGUGCUCUUUACAAAAACUUUCCCUAAAGAAAACACUUUAAUUUUAGUCAGUUGGGCUUUGAUAUAUGCUAGUUACAAUGCCUGCCGUAUUUCAGUCCCUGGAUGCACACAGGAAAUCUGUUCUCGUUUACAAAACAGAUGCUUCUGUGCUUCCUGUGAAUCAGUGGUCACAUGUACCUUUGGGGUUGGGGAGAAGGAAGCAACUGCUUUUCUUUUUUUUUAGCUUGAACAGACUGGGAUUUCUAAAGGGCAAGUCAGGAUCGAUCUUCCUGCCCUCCCCCACCUCCGUUCCUUCCCCCUUUUCUCUCUCCUGUAUUAAUCUUAAGUUUCUUUCAUACAAAAUAUUUAAGAUGUGCAUAAUUGCAGGGCAAAAUGUCAAGCAGUCAGUUUAAUUUGCUGAUGAAUAUGGGGAAUUAAUGUUUCGAAACAGUUGUGGGAUUCCGCAUUAUGAAUUAGCAGGGGAGGGGUGAUGUUUUGUUGACAUUUAUUCAAAGUCUUGAUUGCUUGUUUGGCUUGUGCUUUGCCUUGUAGGUGGAUUUUGCCUUCACUGUAUGGCAGAGCUUCCCGGAGAGGAUUGUGGGAUAUCCUGCACGCAGCCAUUUCUGGGAUAACUCAAAGGAGCGAUGGGGAUAUACAUCCAAGUGGACGAAUGACUACUCCAUGG